RNAcentral lists this ribosomal RNA (453 nucleotides) under uncultured bacterium. RNAcentral's name for it is "bacterial SSU rRNA". It matches the Rfam family "Bacterial small subunit ribosomal RNA", at positions 340 to 786 of the family's 1533-position model. The record is from RNAcentral.
UACGGGAGGCAGCAGUGGGGAAUAUUGCACAAUGGGCGCAAGCCUGAUGCAGCCAUGCCGCGUGUAUGAAGAAGGCCUUCGGGUUGUAAAGUACUUUCAGUCGUGAGGAAGGUGUUAAGGUUAAUAACCUUAGCAAUUGACGUUAGCGACAGAAGAAGCACCGGCUAACUCCGUGCCAGCAGCCGCGGUAAUACGGAGGGUGCGAGCGUUAAUCGGAAUUACUGGGCGUAAGGGCACGCAGGCGGUUAAUUAAGUUGGAUGUGAAAUCCCCGGGCUUAACCUGGGAAUGGCAUUCAAGACUGGUUAGCUAGAGUCUUGUAGAGGGGGUAGAAUUCCAUGUGUAGCGGUGAAAUGCGUAGAGAUGUGGAGGAAUACCGGUGGCGAAGGCGGCCCCUGGACAAAGACUGACGCUCAUGUGCGAAAGCGUGGGGAGCGAAACAGGGAUUAGAUACC